Molecule: microRNA precursor, 78 nt
Filed under: Schistosoma haematobium
Lineage: Eukaryota; Metazoa; Platyhelminthes; Trematoda; Strigeidida; Schistosomatidae
Description: mir-3492 microRNA precursor family
Rfam family: mir-3492 microRNA precursor family
Source: Rfam by way of RNAcentral
AAUCUUCUAAAUCCAUAUCGAGUUUUCGUCAGACACCAGAACAUAAAAACUGAUGAGACUCCAAAGAUAGGUGAAGUG